CGGGAACUCUGAGACAGGUGCUGCAUGGCUGUCGUCAGCUCGUGUUGUGAAAUGUUGGGUUAAGUCCCGCAACGAGCGCAACCCUUAUCCUUUGUUGCCAGCGCGUGAUGGCGGGAACUCAAAGGAGACUGCCGGUGAUAAACCGGAGGAAGGUGGGGAUGACGUCAAGUCAUCAUGGCCCUUACGAGUAGGGCUACACACGUGCUACAAUGGCGUAUACAAAGGGAAGCGACCCCGCGAGGGCAAGCGGAACUCAUAAAGUACGUCGUAGUCCGGAUUGGAGUCUGCAACUCGACUCCAUGAAGUCGGAAUCGCUAGUAAUCGUAGAUCAGAAUGCUACGGUGAAUACGUUCCCGGGCCUUGUACACACCGCCCGUCACACCAUGGGAGUGGGUUGCAA
RNAcentral lists this ribosomal RNA (400 nucleotides) under Morganella morganii. Its description in RNAcentral is "bacterial SSU rRNA". It matches the Rfam family "Bacterial small subunit ribosomal RNA", at positions 1021 to 1420 of the family's 1533-position model. The record is from RNAcentral. Lineage: Bacteria; Pseudomonadati; Pseudomonadota; Gammaproteobacteria; Enterobacterales; Morganellaceae.